Molecule: ribosomal RNA, 301 nt
Filed under: uncultured bacterium
Lineage: Bacteria
Description: partial 16S ribosomal RNA
Rfam family: Bacterial small subunit ribosomal RNA
Source: RNAcentral
CAGUCGCCGCGGUAAUACGUAGGUGGCAAGCGUUGUCCGGAAUUAUUGGGCGUAAAGGGCUCGCAGGCGGUUUCUUAAGUCUGAUGUGAAAGCCCCCGGCUCAACCGGGGAGGGUCAUUGGAAACUGGGAAACUUGAGUGCAGAAGAGGAGAGUGGAAUUCCACGGGUAGCGGUGAAAUGCGUAGAGAUGUGGAGGAACACCAGUGGCGAAGGCGACUCUCUGGUCUGUAACUGACGCUGAGGAGCGAAAGCGUGGGGAGCGAACAGGAUUAGAGACCCCCGUAGUCCCUGUCUCUUAUAA